UUUAGUAUACUAAUUCUAAUAAUAAAUCUAAAUAGAACUUUACAAUGGAUCUCUUCGCUCUCGCAUCGAUGAAGAACGCAGCGAAAUGCGAUAAGUAAUGUGAAUUGCAGAAUUCAGUGAAUCAUCGAAUCUUUGAACGCAUAUUGCGCUCCUCGGUAUCCCGGGGAGCAUGCCUGUUUGAGCAACGUAACAACAGUCUAAUAAAAGAAGGGUCGUGGUGCAUGGAAAACCAAUAGGAAUUCUAUAAGUCUCGUCGUUGUCUGUUCAAUAUCUUGAGGAGUCUCCUUUUUAGUAGAGUUUCUAAAAAAAUCGGAUUGGCAGGGCGGUCGUAAUGGCGUGGAGCAUUUUUUAAUUGUACUAGCACUACAUUUUUAUCUUCUCUAUCGCAUAUUACUGACUCCUGUUCACUUUUUCUUUAGUUAUGAAGUCCGCUACAAUUUCUGCGUGCGGCUUCUAACAAACAUGUUUUCAAAUCAGGUAGGAAUACCCGCUGAACUUAA
RNAcentral lists this ribosomal RNA (500 nucleotides) under uncultured fungus. Its description in RNAcentral is "eukaryotic LSU rRNA". The stretch from base 36 to 187 matches the Rfam family "5.8S ribosomal RNA". Lineage: Eukaryota; Fungi. The record is from RNAcentral.